ACGGAGGAUGCAAGCGUUAUCCGGAUUCAUUGGGUUUAAAGGGUGCGCAGGCGGAUUGGUAAGUCAGUGGUGAAAUUCAACGGCUCAACUGUUGAUCUGCCAUUGAUACUGUCAGUCUAGAGUAUAGUUGGAGUGGGCGGAAUGUGUCAUGUAGCGGUGAAAUGCUUAGAUAUGACACAGAACACCGAUCGCGAAGGCAGCUCACUAAGCUAAAACUGACGCUCAUGCACGAAAGCGUGGGGAUCAAACAG
Molecule: ribosomal RNA, 251 nt
Filed under: uncultured prokaryote
Description: partial 16S rRNA
Rfam family: Bacterial small subunit ribosomal RNA
Source: RNAcentral